This 256-nucleotide long non-coding RNA is filed under the name Columba livia (rock pigeon). RNAcentral describes it as "partial uncharacterized LOC102093628". Lineage: Eukaryota; Metazoa; Chordata; Aves; Columbiformes; Columbidae. The record is from RNAcentral.
AAGUCUUUCUUCCAGCUGCUCUCCCACGAGGAACAUAAGAAGCAGUUUCAUCAUCCUUCCUCUGACCCCUUGAUUGGAGCCUGGAGGAUGGAAGACAAGAUGAAAACAAUGUACUUUGUGGAGAGUCCUGUCCAAAUGUGGAUUGCCCAUAUUUGACCGUAAGAACAGAAAUCAGGCUUUGUCUUUCUUAGAUGUUUGGUUCCUGCCUACAGUAACUGAACCAGAAUUCCCACGGACUCUAAUACAAUUUCUAAAG